GGGGGGGCAAGCGUUUGUUCGGAAUUACUGGGCGUAAAGGGCGCGCAGGCGGUUUCGUCAGUCAUGGGUGAAAGCCCCGGGCUCAACCCGGGAAUGGCCUGUGAAACCACGGAACUGGAGUGCUGGAGAGGGAAGCGGAAUUCCCAGUGUAGCGGUGAAAUGCGUAGAUAUUGGGAGGAACAUCGGUGGCGAAGGCGGCUUCCUGGACAGACACUGACGCUGAGGCGCGAAAGCCAGGGGAGCGAACGGGAUUAGAUACCCCGGGUAGUCCUGGCUGUAAACGAUGAAUACUUGGUGUAGGGGGUAGGAAAGUCCCCUCUGUGCCGAAGAGAACUCGAUAAGUAUUCCGCCCGGGGAGUACGGCCGCAAGGCUG
Molecule: ribosomal RNA, 374 nt
Filed under: uncultured organism
Description: partial 16S ribosomal RNA
Rfam family: Bacterial small subunit ribosomal RNA
Source: RNAcentral